This 465-nucleotide ribosomal RNA is filed under the name uncultured bacterium. RNAcentral describes it as "bacterial SSU rRNA". It matches the Rfam family "Bacterial small subunit ribosomal RNA", at positions 330 to 793 of the family's 1533-position model. The record is from RNAcentral.
CCCAGACUCCUACGGGAGGCAGCAGUGAGGAAUAUUGGUCAAUGGCCGGAAGGCUGAACCAGCCAAGCCGCGUGAAGGACGAAGGUGCCAAGCAUUGUAAACUUCUUUUGUCAAGGGACAAAAUCAGGCUCGAGAGCCUGACCGAGGGUACUUGAAGAAAAAGCAUCGGCUAACUCCGUGCCAGCAGCCGCGGUAAUACGGAGGAUGCGAGCGUUAUCCGGAUUUAUUGGGUUUAAAGGGGGCGUAGGCGGACUUUUAAGCCCGGGUUAAAAUCCGGGGCCCCACCCCCGGCGAGCCGUUGAAACUGGCUGUCUUGAGAUGUCGAGAGGUAUGCGGAAUGCGCAGUGUAGCGGUGAAAUGCAUAGAUAUCACGCAGAACUCCGAUUGCGAAGGCAGCAUACCGGCGCCCAACUGACGCUGAAGCACGAAAGCGUGGGUAUCGAACAGGAUUAGAUACCCUCGUAA